Molecule: long non-coding RNA, 474 nt
Organism: Oncorhynchus kisutch (coho salmon)
Lineage: Eukaryota; Metazoa; Chordata; Actinopteri; Salmoniformes; Salmonidae
Exons: 3
Source: RefSeq, a predicted model, not a curated record
UGUAGGGAUGCCUCUAGCACUGAGAUGCAGUGCCUUAGACCGCUGCGCCACAAUUAAAUUCGCAAUGAUUGUACAUCCACUAAGAAAAGUCCACAAAAACCUAAAAUAAACAUUGAUAUGAAGAAGUCAGCAUACAAGUGACACGACACAUGCUUGACAGCCUCAGGAACUAUGCCUCUUCUGACCUCAGUAUUGCGAAGAAGGGAGGAGAGUAAAUGUGCAGAGGCAGAAACCGGGGCAUGCCUGGCAAGCUGUUCCAUGAUGAAGGGGCUCUGAACAGGAAAAGACCCUGCCCUCCAGCUGUGCUUUUAGAUAUUCUCAGGAUGACUUAGGUCAAAGUGUGGUGAUUAAAGCGUGCAUGUUGGUUUAUAUUGUUUGAGCAUGUCAUUGAGUACUGUUACGUGGGAGCUUAUAAAUGUAGGUUAUGCAGUUUGCAAAUCUCACUUUUAUGAGAAUUAGUAUAAAUCAUGUUUU